This 347-nucleotide long non-coding RNA is filed under the name Nicotiana tabacum (common tobacco). RNAcentral's name for it is "long non-coding RNA (NTAB_LNC000539)". Lineage: Eukaryota; Viridiplantae; Streptophyta; Magnoliopsida; Solanales; Solanaceae. The record is from RNAcentral.
AAAAAACCAAACAACCGAUUAUAGUAAUAAGUAAUUAACUAUAUCAGAAACAGGUCACUUCACUCCCUCGUCCCUAAGGCGGAUUAGUGGUUUAUUUUCAAAAAGGAUUAUUCAUCGUAACCUAAUUUAAAAAUGAUGCUGAGAGAAUUAAGAAAGAAUAAUAGUGAAUGACAACUUACGUCCACAUUUGUAGCCCACGGGACGAUUGGCAAGGUUGCAGCGUUUAGGGAUUGUUACGGCAACUUCAGGUUUGGCUCCAGAAUCCUUAGCAGUAUUGGAUAACAUAACAGCACAGAGACAUUUCGGAUUCUGUCCCAGUUUCUGUAUCUGCUGGCAGCAGCUUCUGG